Molecule: long non-coding RNA, 922 nt
Organism: Halichondria panicea
Lineage: Eukaryota; Metazoa; Porifera; Demospongiae; Suberitida; Halichondriidae
Exons: 2
Source: RefSeq, a predicted model, not a curated record
CUUUAGCAAUAUUUCCUGACCAGUGCAUUUUAGUUUCUGGUCGGUGUCUUUCAUCACCUGGACAUAAUAUUAUGCUUUCUAUACUUUAUGCUGUUAGUUUCCUCUUGUAAAAGCAGUGCUAUAGCACUGCUAGAAGCAGACUCAUCACAUUCAAUGAACUGUGUAGCUGUGCUUCAGCAAGUACCCCCCAAAAGUCUACAGUAUAUACAUCUGGUGUACGAAAGAUCCACCUGGAGUAUUUUUGUAAAGGAAAAAUCUCAAGGCAUUGUUACAAAGCCAAUUGAAAGAUAUGCACAAGUUUGCAGCUAGUUAUUGAAGUGGUGGGCGUGGCUGAAUAUAGUUGCGCAUGCUCAGUAGAUUUAUUAGCUGUGAAACCAUGUGCUGCUCCAAAAGACAAGAACAGAGACAAGACAGGAUUUGUUCACUGCAUUACAUGAAGUGGAUGAUGUUACAAUGUACUUCUAUGACAGGUAAGGAACAGACAGAUGACUAGUUAUCUAUAAUUAGGUAAACACUGGUCACUGUCUAUUUUUCUACUUUCUAAGUCCACCUUUUUCCUAAAGUAAAUACUAACUGGCAAGUAUAUAUGUCAAUGUGAGAAAGAAUAAAGCAAUCUGGCCGGAACCAGGCGACCCUACUACCUAUGAAGUGGUACAGUGACAAGGUGGGCGCUUCAUCGUCAAGAGUGAUUGGUCUUGCUAUACCUGAGUUGGUUGUUGUCGAAAAUGCUCAUUUAACUACAAGUUCCAUGGCAGUAUGUUACACCAAGAAGACCUGUUCCGUAAACAAUCAAUUUCCUUUGUAUUGUCACUGUACAAUAUUUUGUCUUUCCUUCUAACUGUUGUUUUGUUUAUAGUUGUUUUGUUUAUAGUAACUGUUGUCACUUUUCACUUAAAAUUAAUGUCACUGUUAACAUUUUUAA